Long non-coding RNA from Coregonus clupeaformis (lake whitefish), 414 nucleotides. RefSeq lists it as uncharacterized. The record is from RefSeq and is a predicted model, not a curated record. The transcript has 2 exons. NCBI's taxonomy places the organism in Eukaryota, Metazoa, Chordata, Actinopteri, Salmoniformes, Salmonidae.
UUGGCCAUGUCCGGUAUGGAUGCUCACCCGGUAGAUCAAGGUUGGCCAUGUCCGGUAUGGAUCGUCACCCGGUAGAUCAAGGUUUGCCAUGUCCGGUAUGGAUGCUCACCCGGUAGAUCAAGGUUGGCCAUGUCCGGUAUGGAUGGUCACCCGGUAGAUCAAGGUUGGUCAUGUCCGGUAUGGAUUUUUUUGUUCACCUGAAAUUAGGCUUUUGUAAUAAUAACCUAAAGAUUACUAACAUUUACAAACAAGUUAGAUUAUUUGUACUUUUUGAAAAUAUACUUUGAUUCAUUCAAUGUUGAAGUGAAGUGAACUGGUUUUAGUUGUUACCUUAAAAACAUUAUUCAAGAUGAACUGGUGUCAAUGUUCAUUCAUCACAGAUCACAAUUCUGCAAUAAAAAGGUGUGAAGGGGA